This 384-nucleotide ribosomal RNA is filed under the name uncultured bacterium. RNAcentral's name for it is "bacterial SSU rRNA". It matches the Rfam family "Bacterial small subunit ribosomal RNA", at positions 360 to 761 of the family's 1533-position model. The record is from RNAcentral.
AAUUUUGGGCAAUGGGCGAAAGCCUGACCCAGCAACGCCGCGUGAGGGAUGAAGUAUUUCGGUAUGUAAACCUCGACAUAAUGGGAAGAAUAAAUGUCGGUACCAUUUAUAAGCUCCGGCUAACUACGUGCCAGCAGCCGUGGUAAUACGUAGGGAGCAAGCGUUGUUCGGAUUUACUGGGCGUAAAGGACGCGUAGGCGGCGCGGUAAGUCACUUGUGAAAUCUCUGAGCUUAACUCAGAACGGCCAAGUGAUACUGCUGGGCUAGAGGGCGGAAGAGGCAACCGGAAUUCUUGGUGUAGCGGUGAAAUGCUCAGAUAUGAAGAGGAACACCUGAGGCGAAGGCGGGUUGCUGGGCCGACACUGACGCUGAUGCGCGAAAGCC